CAGUCGCCGCGGGAAAACGAAGGGGGCUAGCGUUGUUCGGAUUUACUGGGCGUAAAGCGCACGUAGGCGGAUCGAUCAGUCAGGGGUGAAAUCCCAGAGCUCAACUCUGGAACUGCCUUUGAUACUGUCGAUCUGGAGUAUGGAAGAGGUGAGUGGAAUUCCGAGUGUAGAGGUGAAAUGCGUAGAUAUCGGAAGGAACACCUGUGGCGAAAGCGGCUCACUGGACCAUUACUGACGCUGAGGCGCGAAAGCUAGGGGAGCAAACAGGAUUAGAUACCCCCGUAGUCCCUGUCUCUUAUAC
This 301-nucleotide ribosomal RNA is filed under the name uncultured bacterium. RNAcentral describes it as "partial 16S ribosomal RNA". It matches the Rfam family "Bacterial small subunit ribosomal RNA", at positions 509 to 807 of the family's 1533-position model. The record is from RNAcentral.